This 74-nucleotide transfer RNA is filed under the name Gemmatimonadaceae bacterium. Its description in RNAcentral is "tRNA-Pro". It matches the Rfam family "tRNA". From Rfam's summary of the family: Transfer RNA (tRNA) molecules are approximately 80 nucleotides in length. RNAcentral also lists the same sequence under 1 other name. Lineage: Bacteria; Pseudomonadati; Gemmatimonadota; Gemmatimonadia; Gemmatimonadales; Gemmatimonadaceae. The record is from RNAcentral.
AGGGGUGUAGUUCCAGCAGCCAGAACGCAUGGUCCGGGACCAUGAGGCCGUCGGUGCAAAUCCGACCACCCCUA